AGUGAACGCUGGCGGUAGGCCUAACACAUGCAAGUCGAACGGCAGCACAGUAAGAGCUUGCUCUUACGGGUGGCGAGUGGCGGACGGGUGAUGAAUACAUCGGAAUCUACUUUUUCGUGGGGGAUAACGUAGGGAAACUUACGCUAAUACCGCAUACGACCUACGGGUGAAAGCAGGGGAUCUUCGGACCUUGCGCGAUUGAAUGAGCCGAUGUCGGAUUAGCUAGUUGGCGGGGUAAAGACCCACCAAGGCGACGAUCCGUAGCUGGUCUGAGAGGAUGAUCGGCCACACUGAAACUGAGACACGUUCCAGACUCCUACGGAAGGCGGCGGUGGGGAAUAUUGAACAAUGGGCGCAAGCCGGAUCCAGCCAUCCCGGGUGGUGAAGAAGGCCUUCGGGUUGUAAAGCCCUUUUGUUGGGAAAGAAAAGCAGCAGGUUAAUACCCCGCUGUUCUGACGGUACCCAAAGAAUAAGCACCGGCUAACUUCGUG
Molecule: ribosomal RNA, 491 nt
Filed under: uncultured bacterium
Lineage: Bacteria
Description: partial 16S ribosomal RNA
Rfam family: Bacterial small subunit ribosomal RNA
Source: RNAcentral